UACGUAGGUGGCAAGCGUUGUCCGGAUUUACUGGGCGUAAAGAGCGCGCAGGCGGUCGUUCAAGUCGCGUGUGAAAGCCCCCGGCUCAACUGGGGAGGGUCACGCGAUACUGAUCGACUCGAAGGCAGGAGAGGGUAGUGGAAUUCCCGGUGUAGUGGUGAAAUGCGUAGAUAUCGGGAGGAACACCAGUGGCGAAGGCGACUACCUGGCCUGUUCUUGACGCUGAGGCGCGAAAGCCAGGGGAGCAAACAGG
RNAcentral lists this ribosomal RNA (253 nucleotides) under uncultured bacterium. Its description in RNAcentral is "partial 16S ribosomal RNA". It matches the Rfam family "Bacterial small subunit ribosomal RNA", at positions 524 to 776 of the family's 1533-position model. The record is from RNAcentral.